RNAcentral lists this ribosomal RNA (495 nucleotides) under uncultured bacterium. RNAcentral describes it as "partial 16S ribosomal RNA". It matches the Rfam family "Bacterial small subunit ribosomal RNA", at positions 28 to 507 of the family's 1533-position model. The record is from RNAcentral.
GACGAACGCUGGCGGCGUGCCUAAUACAUGCAAGUAGAACGCUGAAGGAGGAGCUUGCUUCUCUGGAUGAGUUGCGAACGGGUGAGUAACGCGUAGGUAACCUGCCUGGUAGCGGGGGAUAACUAUUGGAAACGAUAGCUAAUACCGCAUAAUAGUAGAUGCUGCAUGACAUUUGCUUAAAAGGUGCAAUUGCAUCACUACCAGAUGGACCUGCGUUGUAUUAGCUAGUUGGUGGGGUAACGGCUCACCAAGGCGACGAUACAUAGCCGACCUGAGAGGGUGAUCGGCCAAACUGGGACUGGGACACGGCCCAGACUCCUACGGGAGGCAGCAGUAGGGAAUCUUCGGCAAUGGACGGAAGUCUGACCGAGCAACGCCGCGUGAGUGAAGAAGGUUUUCGGAUCGUAAAGCUCUGUUGUAAGAGAAGAACGAGUGUGAGAGUGGAAAGUUCACACUGUGACGGUAUCUUACCAGAAAGGGACGGCUAACUACGUG